This 424-nucleotide ribosomal RNA is filed under the name uncultured bacterium. RNAcentral describes it as "bacterial SSU rRNA". It matches the Rfam family "Bacterial small subunit ribosomal RNA", at positions 355 to 796 of the family's 1533-position model. The record is from RNAcentral.
UGGGGAAUAUUGGACAAUGGGGGAAACCCUGAUCCAGCAAUGCCGCGUGGGUGAUGAAGGCCUUCGGGUUGUAAAGCCCUUUUGGCGGGGACGAUGAUGACGGUACCCGCAGAAUAAGCCCCGGCUAACUUCGUGCCAGCAGCCGCGGUAAUACGAAGGGGGCUAGCGUUGUUCGGAAUUACUGGGCGUAAAGGGCGCGUAGGCGGCUUGGCAAGUUGGGCGUGAAAGGCCUGGGCUUAACCCGGGAAAUGCGUUCGAUACUGCCGAGCUAGAGUGUGGGAGAGGAUGGCGGAAUUCCCAGUGUAGAGGUGAAAUUCGUAGAUAUUGGGAAGAACACCAGUGGCGAAGGCGGCCAUCUGGACCACAACUGACGCUAAGGCGCGAAAGCGUGGGGAGCAAACAGGAUUAGAUACCCCCGUAGUCC